Molecule: small RNA, 106 nt
Filed under: Marmota monax (woodchuck)
Lineage: Eukaryota; Metazoa; Chordata; Mammalia; Rodentia; Sciuridae
Source: RNAcentral
GCUGGGCACGGUGGUGUUUGCCUGUAAUCUCAGUGACCUGGGAGGCUGAAGCAGGAGAAUGGUGAGUUGGGGUCAGCCUCAGCAACUUAGCAAGACCUUGUCUCAA